UAGGGAAUCUUCCGCAAUGGACGAAAGUCUGACGGAGCAACGCCGCGUGAGUGAUGAAGGCUUUCGGGUCGUAAAACUCUGUUGUUAGGGAAGAACAAGUACGAGAGUAACUGCUCGUACCUUGACGGUACCUAACCAGAAAGCCACGGCUAACUACGUGCCAGCAGCCGCGGUAAUACGUAGGUGGCAAGCGUUAUCCGGAAUUAUUGGGCGUAAAGCGCGCGCAGGCGGUUUCUUAAGUCUGAUGUGAAAGCCCACGGCUCAACCGUGGAGGGUCAUUGGAAACUGGGGAACUUGAGUGCAGAAGAGAAAAGCGGAAUUCCACGUGUAGCGGUGAAAUGCGUAGAGAUGUGGAGGAACACCAGUGGCGAAGGCGGCUUUUUGGUCUGUAACUGACGCUGAGGCGCGAAAGCGUGGGGAGCAAACAGGAUUAGAUACCCUGGUAGUCCACGCCGUAAACGAUGAGUGCUAAGUGUUAGAGGGUUUCCGCCCUUUAGUGCUGCAGCUAACGCAUUAAGCACUCCGCCUGGGGAGUACGGUCGCAAGACUG
Molecule: ribosomal RNA, 550 nt
Filed under: uncultured bacterium
Lineage: Bacteria
Description: bacterial SSU rRNA
Rfam family: Bacterial small subunit ribosomal RNA
Source: RNAcentral